UUUCUUUUCCUAUGAAGCAGACGUGUCUAACAAUGCUAAAGGACAGCUACGUUCUGGUUCGACCCACAUGAGGCUUUUUACGAAUUCAUCAAGAGUGAGGAAGUAAAGACUUCAAAAUCCACUUUUGCCUCGUUGUGCUGUCUGUCUAGCUAAACAGGCUCACGUUUAGUGAGGACAGAACAGUAAAAAGCCUCAUUAUCAACAGUUGGAGCCAGAAGCUGUUACUCCAAGCAUAAAGACAUAAUGUUGAAGCAAGUGGACGCUCAAUCGCAAAGUCAGCAGAGAAGCUGCUCACCAAGUAGUCAAGGUGAGUUAUGGGAAACAAGGUCUCGUUGCUCCAGAUCCUCAAAGCAGUCUACAAGGUCAUCAGCAAGCGUUGCAGCCCUCAAAGCGCGAGCCAAAGCUGGGGCUGCACAAGCGCAGUUGGCUUUUGCAGAAGAGGAAGCUGAAGCCAUGAAGCAACAGGCUCAAAUCCAAGCUCAACUUCAUGUACUGAAGGUGAAGAAGGAGGCAGCAGCUGCAUCAGCAGAAGCGGACAUCCUGGAAGCAGCAAUUCAGCAGGAAGAAGCACAACCACUUUGUCAUCCAUCAUCCAUCGACUUUGUGGACUCUAAACAAAAGGUUCAAAAUUAUAUCGACAGUCAAGUAAUCCAGCCAGUACAACACCCAGUCCCAUGCUGGAACCCCUUCCACCAAAUUGACAACUCAAGCAUUCAACCUCAACCAUUACCUCAACAAAAUUCCCACACUUUCAACUGCAUAUCAUCACCUAUUCCUGGCGCUACAUCUCCAGCUCCAAUUCACCAGUAUCAGCCACUCAGUUCAUCUCUUCCCCACCCUCAGCAGAAAACAAAUGUAAGUGAUGUAGCAAAAUAUCUGAUGAGACGUGAACUUGUAACAGGCACCAUGCAGAGAUUCGACGAUGAUCCACAAAAUUAUCGCAGCUGGAAAUCAUCUUUUGUGAACAUCACUAAAGACCUAGCUCUGUCAGACAAAGAAGAGCUAGAUCUUCUACUGAAAUGGCUUGGGCCCAAGUCAACUGAACAAGCAAAGAGAAUCAGUGCAGCUCAAGUCAAUAACACAACUUCUGCGCUCAAAAUGGUUUGGCAGCGACUAGAAGAAACGUUUGGUGCACCUGAGCAACUCAGUUCAAGUUUGAUAAACAAGUUAAAAGCAGCACUCGCCCAAUGAUAUCCGUGAAAAAGACUGAAAUUGCUGUAGACACUGAGUUAAAAGAGGUAUGUGAAGAGCCAGACAAACAUUGUCCGUUGCAUAACAAGCCACACCCCCUCAGAAGAUGUCGUACUUUUCUCACCAAGCCUCUUGAUGAGAGAAAGGCGUACCUGAAAGAGAAAGGCAUAUGCUUCAGGUGCUGUGCGUCAACCAAACACCAAGCGAAAGACUGUACUAUUAAAGUCACAUGCAAAGAAUGUCAGAGUGAAAGACACAAUACAGCUCUUCAUCCAGGUCCUCCUUCAACCGACAUCAAACCGUCUUCAGAGGCGCGUCAGCACGGCGGGGAGACCGAGUCAAGUCUACAACCCGUUUCCGCUACCACAAUGUGCACCGAGGUAUGUGGGGAACAACGUAGUCCUAGAUCUUGUGCGAAGAUAUGUUUAGCUAAAGUUUAUCCAGCAGGCCAACGAGAAAAGGCUAUAAACUUGUAUGCUGUCAUGGACGAACAAAGUAACCAAUCCCUUGCUCGUUCAGACUUUUUUGACAUCUUCAGAGUAAACGGAAGCAGAGAGAUUUAUACUCUGAAGACAUGUUCAGGUGUCAUGGAAGUGAGCGGGAGGAAAGCCAAAGACUUUAUUAUUGAGUCAAUAGAUGGUCGUGUAAAAGUGCCACUUCCUCCUAUGCUAGAAUGUGACAUGAUCCCAGAAGAUCGUUCUGAGAUACCUGCACCAGAAGUCACACAACACCAUCCACAUUUAAAGGCACUCUCACACAAAAUCAGUCCUGUAGAUCCAAACGCACAGAUCCUCUUGCUGCUCGGUAGAGACAUCCUGAGGUUGCACAAAGUGAGAGAGCAAUGUAAUGGUCCCAGUAAUGCACCAUUCGCGCAGCGCCUUGACCUAGGCUGGGUCAUCGUGGGUGAUGUAUGUGUAAGUGGAGUGCACAAACCAGUCUCUAUUACAGCAUACAAAACAAACACCUUGUUCAAUGGACGGCCAUCAUAUCUCGAUGCCUGCACAAAUGUCCUACAAGUCAAAGAAAAAAAGGUAACCAACGUAAAAGAUGACAUGCACAGCUUCACAGACACUUAUCAAGUAAAACGAUCAGACAAUCUUGGGGAUACAAUCUUCGUCAAAAGAGAGGAUGAUGAAAUGUUGGCACCGUCACAACAAGAUGCAGAAUUUCUCAAAAUAAUGCAAAAUGAAAUGUACCAGGAUGAGACAAACAAUUGGGUUGCACCGCUUCCAUUUGUUACACCCAGACAGCGUCUACCAAACAACAGACAACAAGCUUUAAAGAGACUUUACACACUCAAACGUAGUCUUGACAAAAAGCCUGAAACAAGAGAGCACUUUGUACAGUUCAUGCAAAAAAUCUUAAACAACCAGCAAGCAGAAACCGCACCUCCCUUGCAACCUGAGGAAGAGUGCUGGUACCUCCCAAUGUUCGGGGUGUACCACCCUCAAAAACCCCAUCAAAUUCGUGUGGUUUUUGAUUCAAGUGCCAAACAUGAGGGUGUAGCGUUGAAUGAUGUCCUCUUAAGCGGCCCAGAUCUUAACAAUGCGUUACUAGGAGUGCUCAUCAGAUUCCGUAAGGAGCCUAUUGCAGUAACGGCAGAUGUGGAACAAAUGUUCUACUGCUUCAAAGUGCGAGAAGAUCAUCGCAAUUUCCUGCGAUUCCUUUGGCACAAAGACAAUGACGUCGCAAAGGAAAUUAUUGAGUACCGCAUGAAAGUGCAUGUGUUUGGAAAUCGUCCGUCUCCCUCUGUUGCAAUCUACGGAUUACGCAAAGCUGCUGGGGUAGGAGAAACGGAAUAUGGCAAAGAAGCAUCACAGUUUGUUAUCAGAAAUUUUUAUGUGGACGAUGGUCUGGUCUCACUCCCGACAGAACUUGAAGCGAUCACGCUCCUGCAAAACACUCAGAAAAUGUUGGCUGUGUCAAACUUGCGCCUACAUAAAUUCGCUUCUAAUAGCAGCAAAGUCAUGGAGGCGUUUCCAACAAGCGACUUGGCAAAAGACAUUAAAAGCCUAAACCUAGACAAUGACCCGUUGCCUGUUCAGAGAAGUUUAGGCAUCAGCUGGAGUCUUGAAUCUGACACUUUCACCUUCCACGUGAGCAAAGAGAAAAAACCCUUCACCAAAAGAGGCAUACUAUCCACUGUCAAUAGUUUGUAUGACCCCUUGGGGUUUGUUUCGCCUAUAACUGUACAGGGAAAAGCACUCAUCCGAGAAUUCACCUUGGAACCAUGCGACUGGGAUGACCCCUUGCCUGCAAACAAAGAGAGAUUGUGGACUGCAUGGAAGGAUUCACUUCUCGAGGUAGAGAACAUACACAUUCCUAGGUCGUAUGUACCACAGUCUAUGUCCUCAACACAGCACAGAGAACUUUGUGUUUUCAGCGAUGCUUCAUCUACAGCAAUAGCAGCAGUUGCUUACAUUCAAGUUAAAAAUGACCAUGGACAGUAUUUCAGUGGAUUUGUCAUGGGAAAAUCCAAACUAGCACCGAGACCAGCGCACACAAUCCCACGUUUAGAACUGUGCGCAGCUGUCCUCGCUGUAGAAAUGGCUGAGCUCAUAUGCCAAGAAAUCGACAUUAAGCUCCAUGAUGUCAGGUUCUACACUGACAGUAAGAUUGUGCUAGGUUACAUCUAUAACAUCUCAAGAAGGUUUUAUGUCUAUGUAUCAAACAGAGUCUCAAGAAUCAGAAAGUCAUCUGUACCAUCGCAGUGGCAUCAUGUUUCAUCGGAAAACAACCCGGCAGACAUUGCCACACGUCCAAUAGCAGCGCUAUUGCUACCACAAACCUACUGGUUCACAGGCCCACCUUUCCUGAACAAAGACCUGUCACAGUUUCCUCCAAUGGAAGAUAACAACAACUUCAAACUAAUCGAACCAGAACAAGAUGUCGAGGUUCGACCGGAAGUUAAUGUCUGUGCUACCCAAGUGAGCUUCAAACAUCUCAGCCCACACCGCUUUGAAAGAUUCUCAUCGUGGAAACAUCUAAUAAGAGGCAUGGCAAAACUCAUUGCAGUCAUCAGAAACAAAUCCAAAACUGCAGACAAAAAAAGUACAAAUCUACAAACUCAAGCAAAACUGUCAGUCAUUGCAAGUGUUCAACAAAAUGCAUUCAAAGAGGAAAUGACAAAGCUUAAAAAAGGAGAGCAUAUCGCAAAAACAAGUCCCUUGUGGAAUUUAAACUCAUUCAUAGACUCAGAAGGACUGUUAAGAGUGGGAGGUCGAACAUCUCUUGCCAAUCUUCCAUAUGAUGAAAAGCACCCACUGAUACUCCCUAAAAGGCAUCAUGUGUCAACUUUGCUUGUGAGAUAUUACCACCAAGAUGUCGCUCAUCAAGGUCGUCACCUCACCGAGGGAGCACUUCGAUCUGCAGGUGUCUGGAUAAUUGGCGCAAGAAAACUUGUCUCAAGUGUCAUUUAUCAAUGUGUCACAUGUCGCAAACUUAGGGGUAAGCCUGCUGAACAGAAAAUGGCCAACUUGCCCGAAGACCGUCUUACAAUGGAGCCUCCUUUCACAAGGGUAGGUCUAGAUGUUUUUGGGCCCUGGACUGUUGUCACCCGCAAAACAAGAGGCGGUAGCGCUGACAGCAAACGUUGGGCAGUUUUGUUCAGCUGUCUGGGCACCCGCGCAGUUCACAUAGAAGUCAUAGAAUCUAUGUCUACAUCAAGUUUUAUUAAUGCAUUACGAAGGUUUUUCGCAGUCAGGGGUCCUGCCAAAGUUUUGAGGUCAGACCGUGGCACUAACUUUAUAGGUGCUUGUAAAGAGUUGAAAAUAAGCACCGAUGACUCUGAGAUUCAAGAUUACUUGAGCAAAGAAGGCUGCACAUGGACUUUCAACACACCUUAUUCAUCGCAUAUGGGAGGCUCAUGGGAAAGAAUGAUAGGCAUCGCCCGUCGCAUUCUUGAUGCCAUGCUAUUGCAAGCAGGUCCUACUCGCCUCACACACGAAGUUCUGACAACGCUCAUGUCAGAAGUUAUGGCUAUCAUGAAUUGCCGACCAUUAGUUCCCAUCACCACGGAUUCAGAGACACCAACAGUUUUGACGCCAUCCAUGCUCCUAACCCAAAAGAAAGGUGCUGCUCCUGCUCCAGAAGGUACGUUCGACAUCAAGGACAUGUACAAAAAGCAAUGGAAGCAUGUUCAAAGUCUUGCAGAUGCCUUUUGGAAACGCUGGAGACAAGAAUAUCUGACAGCUCUUCAAGUAAGAAAGAAAUGGACUCAGGACAAGGACAAUAUCUCAGAAGGAGAUGUCGUCUUAGUUAAAGAUGAACUACUGAAACGCAACGAAUGGCCCAUCGGACUCAUUACAAAGUGCAUCCCAAGCGAAGACAAAAGAAUCCGAAAAGUGGAAGUACGAGUUGUCAAGCAAGGGACUCCGCGUGUCUAUUUGCGACCGAUAAACCAACUGAUUUUGUUACUCCCUCGUCAUAGUGAAACAAAAAAGACUUGAUUAAGUUUAUACAUUUAGUGGUAUAAAGUAUUUAUACCAGACGGGGAGUGUGAUGGUUUGUUCAAUUGUAUUUGUCAAAUAAUGACCUCUGGUGGCGGCUUUGGGUGUAGUUGAAUUCCUGCCUUUCUUUUCCUAUGAAGCAGACGUGUCUAACAAUGCUAAAGGACAGCUACGUUCUGGUUCGACCCACAUGAGGCUCUGUGUUUGUGUGAAUACCACAAGAAGAACCUUCAUCAUGGCAGAUUGGGAGGAAGGCAGAAAUGAAGAUGAUGAUGCUUUUAGGGAGACAGACAGACAGAAGGUGUUCAUGCGUGGGAAGGAAAGUUAAGUUAUGAGUGUAAGAGCUGCAUAAAGCUUUCGUUUGGAAGCAAAGUGAAGUUGUUUCUAAUAUAAAGUUUCUGUCAUUUUUACAGUUGGAAUAUGAGAAGCAACUCUUGUCAAAUUAAACUUUUGACAUAGUAUAACUUUACUCCCUGGAUAUUACAACUUGUUUUCCCCACAUGAAAUUACAGCUCAGUGCCAGAAUAUGAAUGCUUUAUUCUUGCAAUAUUGCACCAUUUAACUUUUUGUAAAAUUGCCACUUUGCUCACAUUACAACUUUGUCUUUUGUGUGGUGACUUUAUAUUUUAAUUGCAGUAAACUAAGAUU
Corythoichthys intestinalis (scribbled pipefish) is the source of this 6287-nucleotide RNA transcript. RefSeq lists it as uncharacterized. The transcript is spliced from 4 exons. The record is from RefSeq and is a predicted model, not a curated record. Lineage: Eukaryota; Metazoa; Chordata; Actinopteri; Syngnathiformes; Syngnathidae.